This 232-nucleotide ribosomal RNA is filed under the name uncultured bacterium. Its description in RNAcentral is "partial 16S ribosomal RNA". It matches the Rfam family "Bacterial small subunit ribosomal RNA", at positions 99 to 334 of the family's 1533-position model. The record is from RNAcentral.
CGGACGGGUGAGUAAUGUCUGGGGAAACUGCCUGAUGGAGGGGGAUAACUACUGGAAACGGUAGCUAAUACCGCAUAACGUCGCAAGACCAAAGAGGGGGACCUUCGGGCCUCUUGCCAUCGGAUGUGCCCAGAUGGGAUUAGCUAGUAGGUGGGGUAACGGCUCACCUAGGCGACGAUCCCUAGCUGGUCUGAGAGGAUGCCAGCCACACUGGAACUGAGACACGGUCCAG